UACGUAGGGUGCGAGCGUUGUCCGGAAUUACUGGGCGUAAAGAGCUCGUAGGUGGUUUGUCGCGUUGUUCGUGAAAACUCACAGCUCAACUGUGGGCGUGCGGGCGAUACGGGCAGACUGGAGUACUGCAGGGGAGACUGGAAUUCCUGGUGUAGCGGUGGAAUGCGCAGAUAUCAGGAAGAACACCGGUGGCGAAGGCGGCGCUCUGGACCGAGACUGACGCUGAGGCGCGAAAGCGUGGGGAGCAAACAGG
RNAcentral lists this ribosomal RNA (253 nucleotides) under uncultured bacterium. RNAcentral's name for it is "partial 16S ribosomal RNA". It matches the Rfam family "Bacterial small subunit ribosomal RNA", at positions 524 to 776 of the family's 1533-position model. The record is from RNAcentral.